UGAAGGAAGAACAUCCGGUAAUUAGAAGAGUGAAACAAACUUCGAGUCAGAAAGUCAGAAAGGCGUCUUUGGAGUGCGGCAGCAUAUCAAGGAGUUCAGUCUACUUGUGCCAAGAAAUAACUCAGCCAGGAUGGCUCACUCUGAGAAGGAGAAGACAGUUACAUUUGGAGCUCUGGUCAUUUCCUUGUCUGCUGCAGGUCUCACCGUUGGAAUGGACACCGCGGCUGUAACAGUACUAGGCGUGAUGGCACUCGUGGCAAUGAUCAUCUCCAAGAUUUUCUGAAGAAGAGGAAUGAUCACCAAAGAACAUCAGGAGAGAACAUUCAAGAUGCACGAGACAACUCUUCAACAGACCUACAAGCAAAUGUUCCAUGAAAUCUCUGCUUUCAAAGAAAAAUUUCUUCUGGAUCAUCUGGGUUUACUAGAUUUACUCUGAAUCUCCUUGCUACUGAGUACUUGUAAUUUUGCUCUGUGAAUCAAUGCGCUGACUUAAGGAUAAGAACAUCUGCUAAAUGCCUAAAUUGGUGGUCCCUUAGGAUAUCUUCUAUAAAACAUUUUUUCAACUACGUGCCCUCAAACUGUUAUUUUAAUCCCCACCUUCAACGACUGGCUUUAAUGGCUGCUUCAUGAUCACGAGACAUUAACACACUCCUGUAACUGUAAGCACAAAUGCUAUUUCAUGUUUUAUGAGGUGGGAAACAUAUAAAUUCUCAUAUAUAAACACCUGUUUAUAUAUGAGAAUAACUGUGUUUUUACCUACAACCUGCACUUCCCCAGUGGAACACAGACUGCUCUCUCUACGGUCCAUUUGAGAACCAGUUCUUUAAAAUGUCAAAUGCAUGUAAAUAUAGGCUAAAAGCAAAUGCUCACAGAGGCAAUUGUUCACUUAUACCUCCCUCCAAAAAAAAUUGUCUUAAGAAAAGUCAGUCUGAUUAAUGGUGACUAAUAAAUGAUUGAUGAUGAAUUAAAAUUGAACAUUCAAAUUAUUUUAUGAUUUCUGUGAUGUCCUCCACUCUUUACCUCUAUCUCUUCUCUUCCUGGUGGCCAUGCUGUUCUGUGCAAUAAAGGUGAAGAAAAAGGUUGUGGGCGCU
Molecule: long non-coding RNA, 1091 nt
Organism: Myripristis murdjan (pinecone soldierfish)
Lineage: Eukaryota; Metazoa; Chordata; Actinopteri; Holocentriformes; Holocentridae
Exons: 3
Source: RefSeq, a predicted model, not a curated record